Molecule: ribosomal RNA, 253 nt
Filed under: uncultured bacterium
Lineage: Bacteria
Description: partial 16S ribosomal RNA
Rfam family: Bacterial small subunit ribosomal RNA
Source: RNAcentral
UACGAAGGGGGCUAGCGUUGCUCGGAAUUACUGGGCGUAAAGCGCACGUAGGCGGAUUGUUAAGUCGGGGGUGAAAUCCUGGAGCUCAACUCCAGAACUGCCUUCGAAACUGGCGAUCUUGAGUCCGGGAGAGGUGAGUGGAACUGCGAGUGUAGAGGUGAAAUUCGUAGAUAUUCGGAAGAACACCAGUGGCGAAGGCGGCUCACUGGACUGGUAUUGACGCUGAGGUGCGAAAGCGUGGGGAGCAAACAGG